Molecule: ribosomal RNA, 253 nt
Filed under: uncultured bacterium
Lineage: Bacteria
Description: partial 16S ribosomal RNA
Rfam family: Bacterial small subunit ribosomal RNA
Source: RNAcentral
GACAGAGGGGGCAAGCGUUGCUCGGAAUUACUGGGCGUAAAGGGCGCGUAGGCGGGAUGGCAAGUCGGUCGUGAAAUCCUUCGGCUCAACCGAAGAACGUCGAUCGAUACUGCUGUUCUUGAGGGUUGCAGAGGAGACUGGAAUUCCCGGUGUAGCGGUGAAAUGUGUAGAGAUCGGGAGGAACACCGGUGGCGAAAGCGGCUCACUGGAUCUCUUCUGACGCUGAUGCACGAAAGCUAGGGUAGCGAACGGG